This 436-nucleotide ribosomal RNA is filed under the name uncultured Coriobacteriaceae bacterium. RNAcentral describes it as "partial 16S ribosomal RNA". It matches the Rfam family "Bacterial small subunit ribosomal RNA", at positions 341 to 792 of the family's 1533-position model. The record is from RNAcentral. Lineage: Bacteria; Bacillati; Actinomycetota; Coriobacteriia; Coriobacteriales; Coriobacteriaceae.
ACGGGAGGCAGCAGUGGGGGAUAUUGCGCAAUGGAGGCAACUCUGACGCAGCAACGCCGUGUGCAGGAUGACGGCCUUCGGGUUGUAAACUGCUUUCAGUAGGGAAGAAAUAAUUGACGGUACCUACACAAGAAGCUCCGGCUAACUACGUGCCAGCAGCCGCGGUAACACGUAGGGAGCAAGCGUUAUCCGGAUUCAUUGGGCGUAAAGCGCGCGCAGGCGGGUAUUUAAGCGGGACUUUUAACCCGAGGGCUCAACCCCCGGUCGGGUUCCGAACUGGAUACCUUGAGUGCGGUAGAGGCAGGCGGAAUUCCAUGUGUAGCGGUGAAAUGCGCAGAUAUAUGGAAGAACACCGAUGGCGAAGGCAGCCUGCUGGGCCGACACUUACGCUCAGGUGCUAAAGCUAGGGGAGCAAACAGGAUUAGAUACCCUGGUA